AGGACACGAUCAGUAGCUGUUCUCAGAGGAAGAUCAGCCACAUUGGGACUGAGAUACGGNCCAGACUCCUACGGGAGGCAGCAGUGAGGAAUUUUGCGCAAUGGGUGAAAUCCUGACGCAGCAACGCCGCGUGAUCGAUUGAAGCUUUAAGGAGUGUAAAGGUCUGUCGCGAGGGAAGACAAUCACCGAGGAAGAAAAGUUCGGUAGUUGACGGUACCUCGCAAGCAAGCUCCGGCUAACUUCGUGCCAGCAGCCGCGGUAAUACGAGGGGAGCAAGCGUUGUCCGAAAUAACUGGGCGUACAGGGUACGUAGGCUUUUUUGUAUGUUUUCGGUGAAAGUCACCGGCUUAACUUUGUGAAUUGCCGGACAAACUGCAGAGAUUGAUUCCGAAAGGGGAAAGCAGAAUCCCUGGUGUAGCGGUGAAAUGCGUAGAUCUCCGGAGGAAUACCAGUGGCGAAGGCGGCUUGCUGGUUCGGAAUUGACGCUGAUGUACUAAAGCGUGGGUAAGCA
Molecule: ribosomal RNA, 511 nt
Filed under: uncultured organism
Description: bacterial SSU rRNA
Rfam family: Bacterial small subunit ribosomal RNA
Source: RNAcentral